GACGAACGCUGGCGGCGUGCCUAAUACAUGCAAGUUGAGCGAUGAAGAUUGGUGCUUGCUCCAAUUUUGAUAGCAGCGAACGGGUGAGUAACGCGUGGGUAAUCUGCCUUUGAGCGUGGGACAACAUUUGGAAACGAAUGCUAAUACCGCAUAACAACUUUAAACAUAAGUUUUAAGUUUGAAAGAUGCUAUUGCAUCACUCAAUGAUGAUCCCGCGUUUUCUUAGCUAGUUGGUGAGGUAAAGGCUCACCAAGGCGAUGAUACAUAGCCGAACUGAGAGGGGGAACGGCCAAAAUGGGAACGAGAACAGGCCCAAAAUCCUAAGGGAGGCAGGAGUAGGGGAAUUUUCGGAAUUGACGAAAGGCUGAACGAGCAAAGCCGGGUGAGUGAAGAAGGGUUUCGGAACAGAAAACUCUGUUGGUAGAGGAGAAAGUUGGGGGGAGGGGAAAGCGCAUAAAGUGACGGUAACUAACCAGAAAGGGACGGCUAACUACGUG
This 497-nucleotide ribosomal RNA is filed under the name uncultured bacterium. Its description in RNAcentral is "partial 16S ribosomal RNA". It matches the Rfam family "Bacterial small subunit ribosomal RNA", at positions 28 to 507 of the family's 1533-position model. The record is from RNAcentral.